AUGCAAGAAAGAAACAGAUGGAAGAUGGGAAACCCACGGCGUGAAGCAGCUUUCGCUGGAGAGGCGGGCGACGAUUCCCGGGGCGAAGACGUGCGCUCCUCUGAGGACGGCGUUGCCACACUGAGCCCCGACCACCACCUCCGAGCUGAGCGGCUCCACGUGUCUGAAAGCCAACUCAUCUCUCACAGACGCCGACAGCAAACAGCUUCAUCCGGGAUUCCUCACAUACCUCGGGCCGACGACAGGAAGAAGCAAGACGUCUGGGACUCGCGGGUGUGGAAGAAUCUGAACCGACGCCUCAUCUGCUGGCGAGCGGCCCGACUUCUGCUUCAACGCUUGGAUCGGAUCUCUUCCAGCGGAGCCAGGUGGGUGCUGGCUCGCACACAGGUGUGUGACGGCGGGUGAGACAGACAGAGGAGCAACUUCUGGAAGCGACGCUCCGCCUCAUGGUGACCCACAGCUGCCAGGAUCUGAGAACAACACAAAUAGUGAUUGUACAAUUUGCUUAAAGUUUUUUAGUGAAACCUAUUCUGGUGGUAGGUACAAUCUAU
Molecule: long non-coding RNA, 551 nt
Filed under: Oryzias javanicus (javanese ricefish)
Lineage: Eukaryota; Metazoa; Chordata; Actinopteri; Beloniformes; Adrianichthyidae
Description: lncRNA (ENSOJAG00000016937.1)
Source: RNAcentral